GGGGUGACUAGUGACAGAGUGAGGGAAGGGGUGACUAGUGGCAGAGUGAGGGAAGGAAGGGGUGACUAGUGACAGAGUGAGGGAGGUGGUGACUGUCACUAGUCACCACCUCCCUCACUCUGUCACUAGUUACCACCUCCCUCUGUCACUACUCCCUCCCUCGGUCACUACUCCCUCCCUCCUUCUGUCACUAGUCACCCCCUCCUCUGUCACUAGUCACCCCCUAACUCACUCUGUCACUAGUCAUCCUC
Non-coding RNA from Pelobates cultripes (western spadefoot toad), 251 nucleotides. The record is from the annotation of a GenBank genome assembly. Lineage: Eukaryota; Metazoa; Chordata; Amphibia; Anura; Pelobatidae.